GUAAGGCUAAAUACUCCCGAGAGACCGAUAGCGAACCAGUACCGUGAGGGAAAGGUGAAAAGCACUUCGAACAGAAGAGUGAAAUAGUACCUGAAACCGUGCGCCUACAAGCGGUCGGAGCACGAAAGUGUGACGGCGUGCCUUUUGCAUAAUGAACCUACGAGUUACCGUAUUUGGCAAGGUUAAGGGUCAUGAGGCCUGCAGCCGAAGCGAAAGCGAGUCUGAACAGGGCGUCAAGUCAGAUGCGGUAGACGCGAAACCAAGUGAUCUACCCUUGGCCAGGAUGAAGUCUGGGUAACACCAGAUGGAGGUCCGCACCAAUAAGCGUUGAAAAGCUUCUGGAUGAGCUGAGGGUAGGGGUGAAAGGCUAAUCAAACUUGGAGAUAGCUCGUACUCCCCGAAAUGCAUUUAGGUGCAGCCUUGCGGGUUACUGAUGUGAGGUAGAGCGACUGAUAAGAUGCGAGGGCUUCACCGCCUAUCAAGUCUUGACAAACUCCGAAUGCGCAUCAGUUCUACCGCAGGAGUGAGGGCAUGGGUGCUAAGGUCCGUGCCCGAGAGGAGAAGAAUCCGGACCACCUGCUAAGGUCCCGAAAUGACAGCUAAGUUAAACUAACGAAGUCUGACUGCUAAGACAGCUAGGAUGUUGGCUUGGAAGCAGCCAUUCAUUUAAAGAGUGCGUAACAGCUCACUAGUCGAGGAAUCGGGCGUGGAUAAUAAUCGGGUAUCAAGUUGUCUGCCGAAGCUAUAGAAUCAGCAAUGAUUGGUAGGGGAGCAUUCCAUUCGGCGUUGAAGGCGUGGCGUGAGCCAUUCUGGAGCGUAUGGAAAAGCAAAUGUAGGUAUAAGUAACGAUAAAGGGGGUGAGAAACCCCCUCGCCGAAAGACUAAGGUUUCCUGAUCAACGCUAAUCGGAUCAGGGUAAGUCGGGUCCUAAGGUUCAGCCGAACGGCGAGACCGAUGGCAGAAACGGUUAAUAUUCCGUUACUACCUUUGAGGGUGACGUGGGGACGCAGUAGUGACACCGCCGCCGGCUGACGGAAUAGCCGGUUAAAGAGUGUAGACGUCGAUUUCCGCAGGCAAAUCCACGGAAAGAGUCGAACUUGACAGUAUGGAACGUCCUUCGGGACAAUCCAAUAGUGCGGGUAAGCAGACUGCCUAGAAAAUCCGCUAAACAUAACUUCAGAGGUACCCGUACCGCAAACGGACACACGUAGUCGGGUUGAAUAUACUAAGGCGCUUGAGUGAAUCACGGUUAAGGAACUAGGCAAACUGACCCUGUAACUUCGGGAUAAAGGGUCCCUACCCUUUUAUGGGAGGGCGCAGAGAAUCGGUCCAGGCAACUGUUUAACAAAAACACAGGGCUGUGCCAAGUCGAAAGACGCUGUAUACAGCCUGACACCUGCCCGGUGCUGGAAGGUUAAGAGGAGAUGUCAUCGCAAGAGAAGCAUUGAAUUGAAGCCCCAGUAAACGGCGGCCGUAACUAUAACGGUCCUAAGGUAGCGAAAUUCCUUGUCGGGUAAGUUCCGACCUGCACGAAUGGUGUAAUGAUCUGGACGCUGUCUCAACCGUGAGCUCAGUGAAAUUGUAGUAUCGGUGAAGAUGCCGAUUACCCGCGAUGGGACGAAAAGACCCCGUGAACCUUUACUAUAGCUUAUCAUUGAAUCUGGGCACGUGAUGUGUAGGAUAGGUCGGAGGCUUUGAAGCAGGUACGCCAGUAUUUGUGGAGCCGCUGUUGAAAUACGACCCUUUAUUUGUUUGGAUUCUAACCCGUGGAACGGGGACAUUGAUUGGUGGGUAGUUUGACUGGGGUGGUCGCCUCCAAAAGCGUAACGGAGGCUUCUAAAGGUGCCCUCCGGCCGAUUGGUAACCGGCCUUAGAGUGUAAUGGCAUAAGGGCGCUUGACUGGGAGACUGACAAGUCGAUCAGGUAGGAAACUAGAGCAUAGUGAUCCGGUGUUUCCGUAUGGAAGGGACAUCGCUCAAAGGAUAAAAGGUACUCCGGGGAUAACAGGCUGAUCCCUCCCAAGAGCUCAUAUCGACGGAGUGGUUUGGCACCUCGAUGUCGGCUCGUCACAUCCUGGGGCUGGAGAAGGUCCCAAGGGUUGGGCUGUUCGCCCAUUAAAGUGGCACGCGAGCUGGGUUCAGAACGUCGUGAGACAGUUCGGUCUCUAUCUAUCGUGGGCGUAUGAAAUUUGCGUGGCUCUGACACUAGUACGAGAGGACCGUGUUGGAC
RNAcentral lists this ribosomal RNA (2229 nucleotides) under metagenome. Its description in RNAcentral is "bacterial LSU rRNA". It matches the Rfam family "Bacterial large subunit ribosomal RNA", at positions 460 to 2702 of the family's 2925-position model. The record is from RNAcentral.